Molecule: long non-coding RNA, 921 nt
Organism: Rhincodon typus (whale shark)
Lineage: Eukaryota; Metazoa; Chordata; Chondrichthyes; Orectolobiformes; Rhincodontidae
Exons: 3
Source: RefSeq, a predicted model, not a curated record
GAGACUAUAACUGUCAAGAAAGAUUAAACAGGCUGUGGCAGCUUUCUCUCAGACAGUGAGGAGGUGACCUGGUCAUGGGCUUCAAAAUUAUGAAGGGGUCUAAUAGACUGAUGGAAGCUAAUGCCAUUUGAGGUGGAGAGCAAAAAUCAGGGUAAUAAACACUGUGUGUGGGCUCAUUCAAGCCUCAUAUGGAUUAGGAUAUUCACCUUUCUGGUCUAACUGUAAUGCUGCUGGAGUUCAUGGGGCUUUUUGCCAGAAUUCUUUACUUACAUAAGGCCUGAUCAACAUAAGCAUCCUGUCAGCACUGUGUUAUAUUCUGCCACAGUAGCGCAUUGGAAAUCAAAUCACACAAUCCCUGCAGCCAUUCCGAAAGCGAAAGAUUUCAUCCAGGUACUUGUCACUUCUUUACAGGAGGCAUAGAGAGAUUGGUUCCCAACUAUAAAGUCUCUGACUCAUCAAUUAAAUCAACAGCUUGUAGCAAAUAUAGAAAAUAAAUGGACUUUCCUCAGUCUUCAGGUAUAUUCUACUGCAGAGAUGUCCAAAGGCUUCUGGAAAUAUCAUUCACAUCCACAAGCUGUUCAGCUACUGGGAGGCAACCACUUAGUUACUGGCACACAGAUGGCCUUUGUCAUCCACAGAUGGUCACCACUCCACAAGCCAACCAGUUACUUGGAGCUGGCUGAAUCUUACUUUGUACACAUCCCCUAGUGCCAGCCUCUCUGUAACCAGCAUCGUCUCAAAGCAGCAGUGUAAACACCAUUUACAAUGAGCUUUGGUAACUACGUUUUUUAAAAAAAAGUACAGCAACCCCAUUCCCAGUCCUUGGUUUUAAAACAAUCUUUAUUCCUAUUUCACUCCAUAAUCGAAAGUGCAGAAUAAUAAAAAGUGAGCCUUUACAAAUAAAGUAAAGCUUCUACUCCU